GUCGAUGUAGUAUAGUGGUGAGUAUUUCCGCCUGUCACGCGGACGACCCGGGUUCGAUCCCCGGCAUCGGCG
Transfer RNA from Selaginella moellendorffii, 72 nucleotides. It matches the Rfam family "tRNA". From Rfam's summary of the family: Transfer RNA (tRNA) molecules are approximately 80 nucleotides in length. Their secondary structure includes four short double-helical elements and three loops (D, anti-codon, and T loops). Further hydrogen bonds mediate the characteristic L-shaped molecular structure. tRNAs have two regions of fundamental functional importance: the anti-codon, which is responsible for specific mRNA codon recognition, and the 3' end, to which the tRNAs corresponding amino acid is attached (by aminoacyl-tRNA synthetases). tRNAs cope with the degeneracy of the genetic code in two manners: having more than one tRNA (with a specific anti-codon) for a particular amino acid; and 'wobble' base-pairing, i.e. permitting non-standard base-pairing at the 3rd anti-codon position. Lineage: Eukaryota; Viridiplantae; Streptophyta; Lycopodiopsida; Selaginellales; Selaginellaceae. The record is from Rfam.